This 73-nucleotide transfer RNA is filed under the name Blautia wexlerae. Its description in RNAcentral is "tRNA-Val". It matches the Rfam family "tRNA". From Rfam's summary of the family: Transfer RNA (tRNA) molecules are approximately 80 nucleotides in length. Their secondary structure includes four short double-helical elements and three loops (D, anti-codon, and T loops). Further hydrogen bonds mediate the characteristic L-shaped molecular structure. tRNAs have two regions of fundamental functional importance: the anti-codon, which is responsible for specific mRNA codon recognition, and the 3' end, to which the tRNAs corresponding amino acid is attached (by aminoacyl-tRNA synthetases). tRNAs cope with the degeneracy of the genetic code in two manners: having more than one tRNA (with a specific anti-codon) for a particular amino acid; and 'wobble' base-pairing, i.e. permitting non-standard base-pairing at the 3rd anti-codon position. RNAcentral also lists the same sequence under 5 other names. The record is from RNAcentral. Lineage: Bacteria; Bacillati; Bacillota; Clostridia; Lachnospirales; Lachnospiraceae.
GUCAGAUUAACUCAGCUGGGAGAGUGCCGUUCUUACAAAUCGGAAGUCGCAGGUUCAAGCCCUGCAUCUGACA